Transfer RNA from Volvox carteri f. nagariensis, 109 nucleotides. It matches the Rfam family "tRNA". From Rfam's summary of the family: Transfer RNA (tRNA) molecules are approximately 80 nucleotides in length. Their secondary structure includes four short double-helical elements and three loops (D, anti-codon, and T loops). Further hydrogen bonds mediate the characteristic L-shaped molecular structure. tRNAs have two regions of fundamental functional importance: the anti-codon, which is responsible for specific mRNA codon recognition, and the 3' end, to which the tRNAs corresponding amino acid is attached (by aminoacyl-tRNA synthetases). tRNAs cope with the degeneracy of the genetic code in two manners: having more than one tRNA (with a specific anti-codon) for a particular amino acid; and 'wobble' base-pairing, i.e. permitting non-standard base-pairing at the 3rd anti-codon position. The record is from Rfam. NCBI's taxonomy places the organism in Eukaryota, Viridiplantae, Chlorophyta, Chlorophyceae, Chlamydomonadales, Volvocaceae.
GACGAGGUGGCCGAGCGGUCUAAGGCGCUAGAUUCAGGACUACCUGGUUCAGACCAGGAUGAGAAAUUUCUAGUCCGUAAGGGCGUGGGUUCAAAUCCCACCCUCGUCA